GAAACCAAGAAAUCUAAAGAAUGU
This 24-nucleotide small nuclear RNA is filed under the name Arabidopsis thaliana (thale cress). RNAcentral's name for it is "snRNA_12427". The record is from RNAcentral. Lineage: Eukaryota; Viridiplantae; Streptophyta; Magnoliopsida; Brassicales; Brassicaceae.